AAAGUCGUAACAAGGUUUCCGUAGGUGAACCUGCGGAAGGAUCAUUUGCGAGUUUGGGUUGGUUGGGGUGGUGGGGAGAGCGAGGGCUCGGAUUAGGGGAGACUCUGAUCAGAGAUACAUGCUCGACCACGCCUCCAUCCAGCCACAUGAGCACGGGACUGGUCAUCUGGCUGGUCCUGCUUGUAUACGCUUGAGUGUUUGACAGAGUUUUUGUGAUUGAUUGAAAAGACAAUACUUUUAACAAUGGAUCUCUUGGCUCUU
RNAcentral lists this unclassified non-coding RNA (261 nucleotides) under Basidiomycota sp. Its description in RNAcentral is "partial contains small subunit ribosomal RNA, internal transcribed spacer 1, and 5.8S ribosomal RNA". The stretch from base 1 to 47 matches the Rfam family "Eukaryotic small subunit ribosomal RNA", at positions 1785 to 1831 of the family's 1831-position model. The record is from RNAcentral. Lineage: Eukaryota; Fungi; Basidiomycota.